This 737-nucleotide ribosomal RNA is filed under the name Panaorus albomaculatus. Its description in RNAcentral is "SSU rRNA". It matches the Rfam family "Eukaryotic small subunit ribosomal RNA", at positions 1052 to 1791 of the family's 1831-position model. Lineage: Eukaryota; Metazoa; Arthropoda; Insecta; Hemiptera; Rhyparochromidae. The record is from RNAcentral.
AUCCGCCGACGUUCCUCCGAUGACUCGGCGGGGAGCUUUCCCCGGGAAACCAAAGCUUUUGGGUUCCGGGGGAAGUAUGGUUGCAAAGCUGAAACUUAAAGGAAUUGACGGAAGGGCACUACCAGGAGUGGAGCCUGCGGUUUAAUUUGACUCAACACGGGAAAGCUCACCAGGCCCGGACAUUGGAAGGAUUGACAGAUCGAUAGCUCUUUCUCGAUUCAUUUGGGUAGUGGUGCAUGGCCGUUCGUAGUUCGUGGGCUGACUCGUCUGGUUAAUUCCAAUAACGAACGAGACUCUAACCUAUUAACUAGACGACACCGGUAUAGAAAGCUACCGGCGAGAUUUAUUCUUCUUAAGGGGACAGGCGGCUCUCAGCCGCACGAGAUUGAGCAAUAACAGGUCAGUGAUGCCCUUAGAUGUUCUGGGCCGCACGCGCGCUACACUGAAGGAAUCAGCGUGUGCUCCCCUGUCCGUAAGGACCGGGUAACCCGUUGAACCUCCUUCGUGCUAGGAAUUGGGGCUUGCAAUUGUUCCCCAUGAACGAGGAAUUCCCAGUAAGCGCGAGUCAUAAGCUCGUGUUGAUUACGUCCCUGCCCUUUGUACACACCGCCCGUCGCUACUACCGAUUGAAUGAUUUAGUGAGGUCUUCGGACCGGCGAUAACCGGCACCGACUUGUUCGGAAUCGAUUUCGCUGGAAAGAUGACCGAACUUGAUCAUUUAGAGGAAGUAAAAGUCG